This 492-nucleotide ribosomal RNA is filed under the name uncultured bacterium. RNAcentral describes it as "partial 16S ribosomal RNA". It matches the Rfam family "Bacterial small subunit ribosomal RNA", at positions 28 to 507 of the family's 1533-position model. The record is from RNAcentral.
GAUGAACGCUAGCUACAGGCUUAACACAUGCAAGUCGAGGGGAAACGGCAUCGAAAGCUUGCUUUUGAUGGGCGUCGACCGGCGCACGGGUGAGUAACGCGUAUCCAACCUGCCCAUCACUUGGGAAUAACCUUGCGCAAGUAAGACUAAUGCCCAAUGACAUCCCACGAAGGCAUCCGAAUGGGAUUAAAGAUUUAUCGGUGAUGGAUGGGGAUGCGUCUGAUUAGCUUGUUGGCGGGGUGACGGCCCACCAAGGCAACGAUCAGUAGGGGUUCUGAGGGGAAGGUCCCCCACAUUGGAGCUGAGACACGGUCCAAACUCGUACGGGAGGCAGCAGAGAGGAAUAUUAGUGAAUGGGCGAGAGCCUAGACCAGCCGAGUAGCGUGCAGGAGGACGGCCCUAUGGGUUGUAAACUGCUUUUAUAAGGGAAUAAAGUGGGUAACGUGUGACUUUUUGCAGGUACCUUAUGAAUAAGGACCGGCUAAUUCCGUG